This 500-nucleotide ribosomal RNA is filed under the name uncultured bacterium. RNAcentral's name for it is "bacterial SSU rRNA". It matches the Rfam family "Bacterial small subunit ribosomal RNA", at positions 29 to 526 of the family's 1533-position model. The record is from RNAcentral.
AACGAACGCUGGCGGCGUGGAUAAGACAUGCAAGUCGAACGGGAUAUUUUUGUAGCAAUACCGGAAUAUUCAGUGGCGAACGGGUGCGUAACACGUGGGUAACAUGCCGGGAAGAGGAGAAUAGCCCAGGGAAACUUGGAUUAAUGCUCCAUGUGGUCGCAAGACUAAAGACGGGGUAACCUGUCGCUUCCUGAUUGGCCCGCGGCCUAUCAGCUAGUUGGCGAGGUAACGGCUCACCAAGGCAACGACGGGUAGCUGGUCUGAGAGGAUGACCAGCCACACUGGAACUGAGACACGGUCCAGACACCUACGGGUGGCAGCAGUCGAGAAUCUUUCACAAUGGGGGCAACCCUGAUGGAGCGACGCCGCGUGGAGGAUAAGGUCUUCGGAUUGUAAACUCCUGUCAUGCGAGAGUAAGGCCCCGCGUUAACUGCGUGUGGGAUUGACAGUACCGCAAGAGGAAGAGACGGCUAACUCUGUGCCAGCCGCCGCAGUAAAAC